This 510-nucleotide ribosomal RNA is filed under the name uncultured bacterium. RNAcentral's name for it is "partial 16S ribosomal RNA". It matches the Rfam family "Bacterial small subunit ribosomal RNA", at positions 28 to 507 of the family's 1533-position model. The record is from RNAcentral.
GACGAACGCUGGCGGCGUGCUUAACACAUGCAAGUCGAACGAAGAGCGAUGGAAGCUUGCUUCUAUCAAUCUUAGUGGCGCACGGGUGAGUAACGCGUAAUCAACCUGCCCUUCAGAGGGGGACAACAGUUGGAAACGACUGCUAAUACCGCAUACGAUCUAAUCUCGGCAUCGAGGAUAGAUGAAAGGUGGCCUCUACAUGUAAGCUAUCACUGAAGGAGGGGAUUGCGUCUGAUUAGCUAGUUGGAGGGGUAACGGCCCACCAAGGCGAUGAUCAGUGGCCGGUCUGAGAGGAUGGACGGCCACAUUGGGAAUGAGACACGGCCCAGACCCCUACGGGAGGCGGCAGGGGGGAAUCUUCCGAAAUGGACGAAAGGCUGAAGGAGCAACGCCGCGUGAGGGAUGAAGGCCUUCGGGUUGUAAAGCUCUGUUAAUCGGGACGAAAGGCCUUCUUGCGAAUAGUGAGAAGGAUUGACGGUACCGGAAUAGAAAGCCACGGCUAACUACGUG